Molecule: non-coding RNA, 356 nt
Organism: Hydrogenovibrio marinus
Lineage: Bacteria; Pseudomonadati; Pseudomonadota; Gammaproteobacteria; Thiotrichales; Piscirickettsiaceae
Source: Rfam
GGGGAUGCACUGGUUUCGACGGGGAGUACGAAGUUUAAAAUGCAUGCCGUGCCUGAAUGAUGCACGUUAAUCUUAGUUCAAUUUGUUAUAGUUGCAAACGACGAUAACUACGCUCUAGCUGCUUAAUCCAGCUAGUGCAGCCUAGACCAGUUGUUCGUGGCCUCUAGCGCUGUAUCGACUUACGCGAAACCGCUGUUAGCAUGUGUUUGGAUGUUGGCAGUUAAACUUUACAAACUCGCUUGACGUGAUCCCUGCUGGUCGGGCAGCGUUCAGGUUAAAUUAGUAGACCAAAUAAGCAUGUAGAGUUUUAGAUGGAGGCUUUACGGACGGCGGUUCGACUCCGCCCAUCUCCACCA